GGUUAAGCGACUAAGCGUACACGGUGGAUGCCCUGGCAGUCAGAGGCGAUGAAGGACGUGCUAAUCUGCGAUAAGCGUCGGUAAGGUGAUAUGAACCGUUAUAACCGGCGAUUUCCGAAUGGGGAAACCCAGUGUGUUUCGACACACUAUCAUUAACUGAAUCCAUAGGUUAAUGAGGCGAACCGGGGGAACUGAAACAUCUAAGUACCCCGAGGAAAAGAAAUCAACCGAGAUUCCCCCAGUAGCGGCGAGCGAACGGGGAGCAGCCCAGAGCCUGAAUCAGUGUGUGUGUUAGUGGAAGCGUCUGGAAAGGCGCGCGAUACAGGGUGACAGCCCCGUACACAAAAAUGCACAUAUUGUGAGCUCGAUGAGUAGGGCGGGACACGUGGUAUCCUGUCUGAAUAUGGGGGGACCAUCCUCCAAGGCUAAAUACUCCUGACUGACCGAUAGUGAACCAGUACCGUGAGGGAAAGGCGAAAAGAACCCCGGCGAGGGGAGUGAAAAAGAACCUGAAACCGUGUACGUACAAGCAGUGGGAGCCUCUUUUAUGGGGUGACUGCGUACCUUUUGUAUAAUGGGUCAGCGACUUAUAUUCUGUAGCAAGGUUAACCGAAUAGGGGAGCCGAAGGGAAACCGAGUCUUAACUGGGCGUUAAGUUGCAGGGUAUAGACCCGAAACCCGGUGAUCUAGCCAUGGGCAGGUUGAAGGUUGGGUAACACUAACUGGAGGACCGAACCGACUAAUGUUGAAAAAUUAGCGGAUGACUUGUGGCUGGGGGUGAAAGGCCAAUCAAACCGGGAGAUAGCUGGUUCUCCCCGAAAGCUAUUUAGGUAGCGCCUCGUGAACUCAUCUCCGGGGGUAGAGCACUGUUUCGGCAAGGGGGUCAUCCCGACUUACCAACCCGAUGCAAACUGCGAAUACCGGAGAAUGUUAUCACGGGAGACACACGGCGGGUGCUAACGUCCGUCGUGAAGAGGGAAACAACCCAGACCGCCAGCUAAGGUCCCAAAGUCAUGGUUAAGUGGGAAACGAUGUGGGAAGGCCCAGACAGCCAGGAUGUUGGCUUAGAAGCAGCCAUCAUUUAAAGAAAGCGUAAUAGCUCACUGGUCGAGUCGGCCUGCGCGGAAGAUGUAACGGGGCUAAACCAUGCACCGAAGCUGCGGCAGCGACGCUUAUGCGUUGUUGGGUAGGGGAGCGUUCUGUAAGCCUGUGAAGGUGUACUGUGAGGUAUGCUGGAGGUAUCAGAAGUGCGAAUGCUGACAUAAGUAACGAUAAAGCGGGUGAAAAGCCCGCUCGCCGGAAGACCAAGGGUUCCUGUCCAACGUUAAUCGGGGCAGGGUGAGUCGACCCCUAAGGCGAGGCCGAAAGGCGUAGUCGAUGGGAAACAGGUUAAUAUUCCUGUACUUGGUGUUACUGCGAAGGGGGGACGGAGAAGGCUAUGUUGGCCGGGCGACGGUUGUCCCGGUUUAAGCGUGUAGGCUGGUUUUCCAGGCAAAUCCGGAAAAUCAAGGCUGAGGCGUGAUGACGAGGCACUACGGUGCUGAAGCAACAAAUGCCCUGCUUCCAGGAAAAGCCUCUAAGCAUCAGGUAACAUCAAAUCGUACCCCAAACCGACACAGGUGGUCAGGUAGAGAAUACCAAGGCGCUUGAGAGAACUCGGGUGAAGGAACUAGGCAAAAUGGUGCCGUAACUUCGGGAGAAGGCACGCUGAUAUGUAGGUGAAGCGACUUGCUCGUGGAGCUGAAAUCAGUCGAAGAUACCAGCUGGCUGCAACUGUUUAUUAAAAACACAGCACUGUGCAAACACGAAAGUGGACGUAUACGGUGUGACGCCUGCCCGGUGCCGGAAGGUUAAUUGAUGGGGUUAGCGCAAGCGAAGCUCUUGAUCGAAGCCCCGGUAAACGGCGGCCGUAACUAUAACGGUCCUAAGGUAGCGAAAUUCCUUGUCGGGUAAGUUCCGACCUGCACGAAUGGCGUAAUGAUGGCCAGGCUGUCUCCACCCGAGACUCAGUGAAAUUGAACUCGCUGUGAAGAUGCAGUGUACCCGCGGCAAGACGGAAAGACCCCGUGAACCUUUACUAUAGCUUGACACUGAACAUUGAGCCUUGAUGUGUAGGAUAGGUGGGAGGCUUUGAAGUGUGGACGCCAGUCUGCAUGGAGCCGACCUUGAAAUACCACCCUUUAAUGUUUGAUGUUCUAACGUUGACCCGUAAUCCGGGUUGCGGACAGUGUCUGGUGGGUAGUUUGACUGGGGCGGUCUCCUCCUAAAGAGUAACGGAGGAGCACGAAGGUUGGCUAAUCCUGGUCGGACAUCAGGAGGUUAGUGCAAUGGCAUAAGCCAGCUUGACUGCGAGCGUGACGGCGCGAGCAGGUGCGAAAGCAGGUCAUAGUGAUCCGGUGGUUCUGAAUGGAAGGGCCAUCGCUCAACGGAUAAAAGGUACUCCGGGGAUAACAGGCUGAUACCGCCCAAGAGUUCAUAUCGACGGCGGUGUUUGGCACCUCGAUGUCGGCUCAUCACAUCCUGGGGCUGAAGUAGGUCCCAAGGGUAUGGCUGUUCGCCAUUUAAAGUGGUACGCGAGCUGGGUUUAGAACGUCGUGAGACAGUUCGGUCCCUAUCUGCCGUGGGCGCUGGAGAACUGAGGGGGGCUGCUCCUAGUACGAGAGGACCGGAGUGGACGCAUCACUGGUGUUCGGGUUGUCAUGCCAAUGGCACUGCCCGGUAGCUAAAUGCGGAAGAGAUAAGUGCUGAAAGCAUCUAAGCACGAAACUUGCCCCGAGAUGAGUUCUCCCUGACUCCUUGAGAGUCCUGAAGGAACGUUGAAGACGACGACGUUGAUAGGCCGGGUGUGUAAGCGCAGCGAUGCGUUGAGCUAACCGGUACUAAUGAACCGUGAGGCUUAACCUU
RNAcentral lists this ribosomal RNA (2904 nucleotides) under Escherichia coli O18ac:H14. Its description in RNAcentral is "23S ribosomal RNA". It matches the Rfam family "Bacterial large subunit ribosomal RNA". Lineage: Bacteria; Pseudomonadati; Pseudomonadota; Gammaproteobacteria; Enterobacterales; Enterobacteriaceae. The record is from RNAcentral.